UACGUAGGGAGCAAGCGUUGUCCGGAAUCAUUGGGCGUAAAGCGCGCGUAGGCGGCUCAGUAAGUCUGUUGUGAAAGCCCAGGGCUCAACCCUGGAACGCCGAUGGAUACUGCUGAGCUCGAGUCCGGAAGAGGCGAGUGGAAUUCCUGGUGUAGCGGUGAAAUGCGCAGAUAUCAGGAGGAACACCAAUGGCGAAGGCAGCUCGCUGGGACGGUACUGACGCUGAGGCGCGAAAGCGUGGGGAGCAAACAGG
Molecule: ribosomal RNA, 253 nt
Filed under: uncultured bacterium
Lineage: Bacteria
Description: partial 16S ribosomal RNA
Rfam family: Bacterial small subunit ribosomal RNA
Source: RNAcentral